Molecule: long non-coding RNA, 1003 nt
Organism: Capsicum annuum
Lineage: Eukaryota; Viridiplantae; Streptophyta; Magnoliopsida; Solanales; Solanaceae
Exons: 3
Source: RefSeq, a predicted model, not a curated record
UGUUAUAUUAUUAUCACAAUAUAUUCUGUUUUUUUAACCAUUAUUCUUUCAUCCAAUGUUUAACUUUUUCUUUUUUUAUCAUUCUUUUUUUCUUAACAAAUUACCUUUCUAUUUUUGUUGCCCAAAUUUAGUUACAAAUGCAACAACAAAAACUGUUACAUGUUCAUAGUCCUACCAGGACUACUUUUUUAAAAAUAUAUCUAUUUCAUUGUAUAAUCCUACACUGACAUAUUCUUUUCAAUCAUUAAAUAAGAAGGUUCUCGCUGUUGCAUUAUUGCUAUUACUGAAUUGUUAAACCUAGAUAAUGGGUGGUCUUAUAUCACUUAUGAUUUGGGAUACUGAUGUCAUAUCUCUAAUUGACAAGUUCGCAAAUGACUUGAAGGAGGAAUUACUUCAGGUAUAUAUAAUACAUAGAUUUCAUCAUUUAUGUUAGCUAUUAAAUUUAUUACUAACACAUAUAUUAUUCCUAGAAUACUGGCAAUGAUGAUGACCCUUCUUAUCCAAUGGAACUGAAUAAUAAUCUUCAGAGAAAAUUCAUUUUUAAGGUGAUUGUCAAGAAAUAUUCAAAACCAUGAUGAGGUGUACAGUGUUGUUAAAAUUCUAGAUGAUGAAGAUUUGAUCAAGAAAUAUUCUCCUAAUGAAUCUGAUACCUCCCGUGACCAUCACUUUACCAAUUAUGAAGAAUCAUAUGCUGAGAAGGACUACAAGGAAUCCACCAAAGACAGUGACAUGUUAACUUCUUUGAAGACGUAUGCAAAGAGUAAUAGAUCUUCCAAGAAGGAUAAAUCUAUCAUAGUUGAUGAAAAUUUUCAUGGUCAACUCUCAAGCAACAAGAUUCACAAAGGCGCUAAAAAGAAAAACAAAUCAUCAUCAGCGGCCUCUAAAUGAAUUAUCUUACAUUGUUUUUGUAGUAUAAUACUUUAUAUUAAUCUAGCAGUUUGUUAGGGUUAGUGACAUAUAUCAUAAGUUAUUUAUAUCCUGUUAAGGUGAUACAUUUCACACC